GCCGGUGUGGCGGAAUGGCAGACGCACCGCACUCAAAAUGCGGCGGGCAACCGUGCCGGUUCGAGUCCGGCCACCGGCACCA
This 82-nucleotide transfer RNA is filed under the name Candidatus Anaerotruncus excrementipullorum. RNAcentral describes it as "tRNA-Leu". It matches the Rfam family "tRNA". From Rfam's summary of the family: Transfer RNA (tRNA) molecules are approximately 80 nucleotides in length. Their secondary structure includes four short double-helical elements and three loops (D, anti-codon, and T loops). Further hydrogen bonds mediate the characteristic L-shaped molecular structure. tRNAs have two regions of fundamental functional importance: the anti-codon, which is responsible for specific mRNA codon recognition, and the 3' end, to which the tRNAs corresponding amino acid is attached (by aminoacyl-tRNA synthetases). tRNAs cope with the degeneracy of the genetic code in two manners: having more than one tRNA (with a specific anti-codon) for a particular amino acid; and 'wobble' base-pairing, i.e. permitting non-standard base-pairing at the 3rd anti-codon position. Lineage: Bacteria; Bacillati; Bacillota; Clostridia; Eubacteriales; Oscillospiraceae. The record is from RNAcentral.